This 446-nucleotide ribosomal RNA is filed under the name uncultured bacterium. Its description in RNAcentral is "partial 16S ribosomal RNA". It matches the Rfam family "Bacterial small subunit ribosomal RNA", at positions 338 to 795 of the family's 1533-position model. The record is from RNAcentral.
CCUACGGGAGGCAGCAGUCGAGAAUCAUUCACAAUGGGGGAAACCCUGAUGGUGCGACGCCGCGUGGGGGAAUGAAGGUCUUCGGAUUGUAAACCCCUGUCAUGUGGGAGCAAAUUAAAAAGAUAGUACCACAAGAGGAAGAGACGGCUAACUCUGUGCCAGCAGCCGCGGUAAUACAGAGGUCUCAAGCGUUGUUCGGAAUCACUGGGCGUAAAGCGUGCGUAGGCUGUUUCGUAAGUCGGGUGUGAAAGGCGCGGGCUAAACCCGCGGACGGCAGAUGAUACUGGGAGACUAGAGUGAGGGAGGGGGAAGCGGAAUUCGCGGUGUAGCAGUGAAAUGCGUAGAUAUCGAGAGGAACACUCGUGGCGAAGGCGGGUUCCUGGACAUUAACUGACGCUGAGGCACGAAGGCCAGGGGAGCGAAAGGGAUUAGAUACCCGGGUAGUC